Non-coding RNA from Acanthosepion pharaonis, 112 nucleotides. Lineage: Eukaryota; Metazoa; Mollusca; Cephalopoda; Sepiida; Sepiidae. The record is from the annotation of a GenBank genome assembly.
ACAGCCAUGUCACAUUGAAACACUGUUUCCCUCACGAUCUCCGAAGUUAAGCAACUUCGAUACCUGGUCAGUACCUAGAUGGGUGACCACUUGGGAAUACCAGUUGCUGUGA